This 233-nucleotide ribosomal RNA is filed under the name uncultured bacterium. RNAcentral describes it as "partial 16S ribosomal RNA". It matches the Rfam family "Bacterial small subunit ribosomal RNA", at positions 100 to 334 of the family's 1533-position model. The record is from RNAcentral.
CGGGACGGGUGAGUAAUGUCUGGGAAACUGCCCGAUGGAGGGGGGUAACUACUGGAAACGGUAGCUAAUACCGCAUAACGUCUUCGGACCAAAGUGGGGGGACUUCGGGCCUCACGCCAUCGGAUGUGCCCAGAUGGGAUUAGCUAGUAGGUGGGGUAAUGGCUCACCUAGGCGACGAUCCCUAGCUGGUCUGAGAGGAUGACCAGCCACACUGGAACUGAGACACGGUCCAG